AACAAACUCAGAAUCUACAGCCACCAUGACUGCACUGGUUCUGCUUUCUGUCUUCAUAGCCUUCAUUCAGGAUUCAGUAUGUCAGAUUUCUGUGAAUCAACCAUCAGCACCAAAGUCAGUGUCUGCCGGAGGGAGCGUCACCUUCAGCUGUACUACUGGGAGUACCGUGUAUAGCUACAUGGCCUGGUACCAGCAGAGACCUGGACAAACUCCUAAACUCCUGAUCUAUAGUGCAAGCACUCGCUACGGUGACACCCCGAGUCGCUUCAGUGGCAGCGGGUCAGGAACUUCAUUCAGUUUGACUAUCAGUGGAGUGCAACCUGAAGACGCUGGUCACUACUACUGUCAGCAGUAUACAGACACCCUCUCACACAGUGAUUGA
Polypterus senegalus (gray bichir) is the source of this 382-nucleotide non-coding RNA. NCBI's taxonomy places the organism in Eukaryota, Metazoa, Chordata, Cladistia, Polypteriformes, Polypteridae. The record is from the annotation of a RefSeq genome assembly.